AUGGAAAAGAAAAGAGAGACCUCGUUAUUUACCUCUAUUUCUUUUCUAGCAAGGCUCAUUUCCUUAAGACGGCAUCCGAGGUCUAUACUUCUAACGUCUAUGCUAUUAACGUACAACGUCACAUAAUGGAAACCGACUGGCAGCAUUCUAUAAACGAAUGUUACAUUGCGCCGCUACAUGGUACGGCGUUGUUAUAAUGUUAGAGUAAAGCAGUUGAGCAGCACGUUUUUUACGUAACGCUACGCGUAACGCCAAGGCGUGACGUCAGCACACUCGGCGUCGCGCCAGCCAGCAACGACGCCGGGCGCGGAAUUCUUGCGAAGAAAGCACUAACCGAGAGAAGCCGAGUAUAACCGAACGAGACGACACGGCAUAGUUGCACGAGGCGGCAACGCUGCGAGCGUCUGCUAGGUUCAAGGGUACGGAGUGGAGGUUGCUCCGCUCCGCUCGUCCCUAAGCCCGACACGACCGGGAGCUUGUCCCGAGAAACAGUUGGCCGCAUGUCCGCUUUCAUCCAACGGGAAACUUCUCGAAAGAUGCGCGUAAAAAGCUUGUACGUUACUUAUAUACUUACUCGUGUAUUCGGAGAAAUUCCCUGUUCCACUGAAAUGCGGACGAAGUUAAAUGCUCCUAGCAUUUGAUGCAUACGCUGCGUGACCGAUUAUUCAUGGUGGAAUUUAAAACUGACUCAAUCGUUCAGAGUCAUCGUCUCCACCAUUUAUUUCUGUCUCUUUUAAAUUCCCGUUUUCUUAGUUUCGAGACACGUCUAUGUAGUCUCGAAAUAAAUUACGCGUCUUUGAAGUUUCAUUUCGGUAGCCUUUAAAAUAAAAGGAGAUAGAGCAUUUUUAAAAAGCGCUACUUGGCCAUGCUGUGAUUGUCAUUUACUUACUGUAAUUACUACAUUGAGUAGUACUUUGCAAUUGUAAGUACACGACUGUUUGUAUUUUGGGUUCGCAACCGUUUCUCGAUUAAAAAUUAAAAAUUUGUAUUUCUUGAGUCGUGUCAACCCAUUAAUUCGAGGAAGCGAUAUGUAUGCACAUGCUUGCAAUACAUUCAUUAUAUAAUUUUCGCACCACUUUUGAGAACAUAAAUGAACAUACGAAACACAGUGUAAUAAUCGAGGUAUUUAGCAGAGUCAUUGAAUAGCCACGCAAGAGGAUCGCGGUUAGUAACGAGGCUAUUUUGCCGCGAUAGCUGUGAUCUUCUUCGAGACAUAGAAUCCGCUGGCAAGGAUCCCAGCGAGUGAAUAAAAACAGAAAGGAGAGAGUCAUCGAGUCGACUGUGUCCUGCUGCUGGUUGACCUCGGCCCUGGCGUCGAGAUCGACGGGAAACGGAUUUACAACUCUGACAUUCGCACUCGCACCGCGCACCAGCCGUGUGCUGUCCUAGUGGGACUCACAGAAGCCGAGUCAUUGUUAUGUCUGUCGUGAAAAUGAGAGCAAAAGAUGAAAAUGGAGUGGAAUUCAGCUACGAUUUCAUUUGAAAUAUUAUGUUUCUGGGCGAGUGUUACGAUUAAAAGGAACGGAUGUAGCUUUAAUUAUGUUCCUUAAUACCAUUACGCCACACCUGGUUAUUGUACUAUAUAGUCACCAAUGGUAGUGUCAAAUUUUAUCUCCAUAAUUCUUAAUGAAAUUUGAUAAUGUAUUUCUGACAGGAAGUUACGAUUAAAAGGAACAGAUGUAACUUCAAUCGCUGCUUUACUAGCAUUACAACAGUUUGAUUAUUGUAUUACAUCGUCACUACGUCGCUAUUGGUAAUUGUAAUUUUUUUAGUUGACAAUAGAAUUCAUAUGUGUACUUUGUAAUUGAA
Long non-coding RNA from Bombus impatiens (common eastern bumble bee), 1809 nucleotides. RefSeq lists it as uncharacterized. Lineage: Eukaryota; Metazoa; Arthropoda; Insecta; Hymenoptera; Apidae. The transcript is spliced from 2 exons. The record is from RefSeq and is a predicted model, not a curated record.